Molecule: long non-coding RNA, 922 nt
Organism: Gymnogyps californianus (California condor)
Lineage: Eukaryota; Metazoa; Chordata; Aves; Accipitriformes; Cathartidae
Exons: 4
Source: RefSeq, a predicted model, not a curated record
AGCCCCAGCCCUCCCACCCAACUGCAUCCCAGCAGCGAACGAAGACUGGUAGGGAAGACACACUAGAGGUACCAUAUCUCAGUGGAUAAAAACCGUACGGCUUCUAUGUUCUCUGUUAAAUCAUGUUUACAGUCAUCCAGAGUCCUGGCUCCAGUGAAAUGCCCCUUGUGAUCAAGAAGGUUAGCGUGAGGCAAGAUUCAAAUUUGCCAAUAAAGAUAUUUCAUCUUCCAGAAUUACCUGGUCUCGGUGUGUCUUUGGGGAAAAACAAGAGGAGAGACCACAUGGAAGCUCACCUCUUUCUUAUCCCAUUUACUUGAAGAAGGUGCUAACCUCAGAGUCUAGCAGAGAUUAAGCACUUUGCUAGCAAUAUUACAGACUGCAUUUAACUCCUAAAAAGCUCCUCAGUACCAAGUGGAAUACUUGAAAAAAUAUUUUGUCUUUGUCUGCUGCAUUUAAUUCCACUCUAGCGUCUGUACCUCUAGAGAAGAAGUCAUGCUAUGCUAGACAGAACAGCCGAGUGCUAACGCCUGUCAAAAGAAAUGCAAAAUAUGUGAAUCCUUGGCCUUUUUUGGGUAAUGUCUACAGCAAAUUGCCACGUUUCUAUGUUGUUUCCCCUCCUCAUGAGGCAGCAUCUCCACGUGCAGGGCGCGCUUACUGAGCGGCUCCGCAGCAGUCAGAGGUCAUCGGGACUCCCAGUAGCACGACAGAAAGAGAUGCUUCGGGCCAUUUUACCCCUCAACGAUCCACCAAAGGGAACCGAUGGACAAUACUUAGGAGGUGCAUUGUUUUUAUUUACAUUUGCAAAGACGAGGCUAUGGGAGCAGCCCAGACCGGCCCGGCCCGUGACGGCCCCUGCCGGGUGCAGGCUUUAUGUCAGGGUGAUAGAAGGCUUUAUAUAACCGUCCUUCGCCGCGUUUUGUUA